UUUAUGGAGAGUUUGAUCCUGGCUCAGAGUGAACGCUGGCGGCGUGCCUAAUACAUGCAAGUCGAACGAUGAAGCUUCUAGCUUGCUAGAAUGCUGAUUAGUGGCGCACGGGUGAGUAACGCAUAGGUCAUGUGCCUCUUAGUUUGGGAUAGCCAUUGGAAACGAUGAUUAAUACCAGAUACUCCCUACGGGGGAAAGAUUUAUCGCUAAGAGAUCAGCCUAUGUCCUAUCAGCUUGUUGGUAAGGUAAUGGCUUACCAAGGCUAUGACGGGUAUCCGGCCUGAGAGGGUGAACGGACACACUGGAACUGAGACACGGUCCAGACUCCUACGGGAGGCAGCAGUAGGGAAUAUUGCUCAAUGGGGGAAACCCUGAAGCAGCAACGCCGCGUGGAGGAUGAAGGUUUUAGGAUUGUAAACUCCUUUUGUUAGAGAAGAUAAUGACGGUAUCUAACGAAUAAGCACCGGCUAACUCCGUGCCAGCAGCCGCGGUAAUACGGAGGGUGCAAGCGUUACUCGGAAUCACUGGGCGUAAAGAGCGCGUAGGCGGGAUAGUCAGUCAGGUGUGAAAUCCUAUGGCUUAACCAUAGAACUGCAUUUGAAACUACUAUUCUAGAGUGUGGGAGAGGUAGGUGGAAUUCUUGGUGUAGGGGUAAAAUCCGUAGAGAUCAAGAGGAAUACUCAUUGCGAAGGCGACCUGCUGGAACAUUACUGACGCUGAUUGCGCGAAAGCGUGGGGAGCAAACAGGAUUAGAUACCCUGGUAGUCCACGCCCUAAACGAUGGAUGCUAGUUGUUGGAGGGCUUAGUCUCUCCAGUAAUGCAGCUAACGCAUUAAGCAUCCCGCCUGGGGAGUACGGUCGCAAGAUUAAAACUCAAAGGAAUAGACGGGGACCCGCACAAGCGGUGGAGCAUGUGGUUUAAUUCGAAGAUACACGAAGAACCUUACCUAGGCUUGACAUUGAGAGAAUCCGCUAGAAAUAGUGGAGUGUCUGGCUUGCCAGACCUUGAAAACAGGUGCUGCACGGCUGUCGUCAGCUCGUGUCGUGAGAUGUUGGGUUAAGUCCCGCAACGAGCGCAACCCCCUUUCUUAGUUGCUAACAGGUCAUGCUGAGAACUCUAAGGAUACUGCCUCCGUAAGGAGGAGGAAGGUGGGGACGACGUCAAGUCAUCAUGGCCCUUACGCCUAGGGCUACACACGUGCUACAAUGGGGUGCACAAAGAGAAGCAAUACUGCGAAGUGGAGCCAAUCUUCAAAACACCUCUCAGUUCGGAUUGUAGGCUGCAACUCGCCUGCAUGAAGCUGGAAUCGCUAGUAAUCGCAAAUCAGCCAUGUUGCGGUGAAUACGUUCCCGGGUCUUGUACUCACCGCCCGUCACACCAUGGGAGUUGUGUUUGCCUUAAGUCAGGAUGCUAAAUUGGCUACUGCCCACGGCACACACAGCGACUGGGGUGAAGUCGUAACAAGGUAACCGUAGGUGAACCUGCGGUUGGAUCACCUCCUUUCUAGA
RNAcentral lists this ribosomal RNA (1509 nucleotides) under Helicobacter pylori. RNAcentral's name for it is "bacterial SSU rRNA". It matches the Rfam family "Bacterial small subunit ribosomal RNA". The record is from RNAcentral. Lineage: Bacteria; Pseudomonadati; Campylobacterota; Epsilonproteobacteria; Campylobacterales; Helicobacteraceae.